Cyprinus carpio carpio is the source of this 549-nucleotide long non-coding RNA. Lineage: Eukaryota; Metazoa; Chordata; Actinopteri; Cypriniformes; Cyprinidae. The record is from Ensembl.
GAUCUUGCGUGAGGGGGAUCAAAUAUGCGGUUGCACAAUGGAGAGCAACAUGGACAUCAGAAGAACUAAAGAGGACAAAAAACUGCUUGGAAGGCAGAUUAAAGCCAGUCACACAUUAUUGAAACACAAGGGCAUAAGCACAGUGUCACAUCGCACAAAGUGCAGAAAGCUUUAAAAGACCGAAGAGUGAAGCAUUAUGGGUAUGAGUUUCGGUACAAUAAUAAUAACAUGGAUAAAAACAAACCCUUACCGCGUGAAUAAUGCACCAUUACUGAAAAAAAACACCAUUGAUUCCUUGAUUGCUAUGGACAUGAAAAGAGCCAGCAUCACCCCCUGACCCCACUCCUAUUGAGAACCUGCGGAGCAUCCUUGAAAUGAAGAUCUAUGAGGGUUGGCGGCAGUUACCCCCAAACAACAGCUCUGGGAUCCUCAAAUGAAAUACUGCCAGAAACUAUACAUGGACUUACAAGUUCAAUGGAUGAGAGAAUUGUUAAAGUCAUCUCCAAGAAGGCAUAACACCUCGGAAAUUUGAUGUGGUACCCGUGUUGG